CCUACGGGAGGCAGCAGUGAGGAAUAUUGGUCAAUGGACGCAAGUCUGAACCAGCCAUGCCGCGUGCAGGAAGACGGCUCUAUGAGUUGUAAACUGCUUUUGUACGAGGGUAAACGCAGAUACGCGUAUCUGUCUGAAAGUAUCGUACGAAUAAGGAUCGGCUAACUCCGAGCCAGCAGCCGCGGUAAUACGGAGGAUUCAAGCGUUAUCCGGAUUUAUUGGGUUUAAAGGGUGCGUAGGCGGUAGGAUAAGUUAGGGGUUAAAUCCCGGGGCUCAACUUCGGCAUUGCCUCUGAUACUGUUCGGCUAGAGAGUAGGUGCGGUAGGCGGAAUGUAUGGUGUAGCGGUGAAAUGCUUAGAGAUCAUACAGAACACCGAUUGCGAAGGCAGCUUACCAAGCUACUUCGGACGUUGAGGCACGAAAGCGUGGGUAGCAAACAGGAUUAGAUACCCCAGUAGUC
Molecule: ribosomal RNA, 460 nt
Filed under: uncultured bacterium
Lineage: Bacteria
Description: partial 16S ribosomal RNA
Rfam family: Bacterial small subunit ribosomal RNA
Source: RNAcentral